AUAUUGGUUGGGGACUGAGUGUUGGAACUUGUUACUAAGUGUAUUUUUUUUAAUUAAAUGGGCUCAGAGGCUUGUAUAAUAUGCCCAUGUCUUCUAAAUUAAGAUAUAAUAAUAAUACUAGUAAUGUAUGGCCAGAUUCUCAGCUGGUGUAAAUUAGCAUAGCUUCAGAUUUACACCCCCUGAGACUCAUAAUAUGCAAACAUAAUUUUUAAACUAACUUCUGGCUUCCAUUUGGGAACCCAGGUGAAGACAGAGAACGUUGGAAUGGUGUGGGAGUAGCAAUGAGACACCAUAUGGGCCCUCAUUAGCAUGGUGUCAUGGAUUUUGAAUGACUUUCUUACAUUUUUGUCAUGUGCCACUUGAUAUAGCUGUUGAGAGGUGUGAGCCUUAGACUCUCUUAAAUUACAUCAGCAAGCAAUUUCCAUAAUUCCACAACUUUUAUUAAUCCUUUUCUGCUCUGGAAGGAAUUGCAUUUGUGUAUAAUAUAUUCUGGGUUUAGCACCAAAUUGAGAUCUCAGAUUGUGAUUCAUCAUAAUGACAUUUUAGCUUUAUAAAAGAGGGCUGUCCACCAGGGUCCAUGAUACAUAAAUAGCACUGGAAGCUUACCGGAUUUGUAGGAAUGAUACAUCAAAGAAAGGAGUAACACCGAGCGGCUACUGUUGGUUCUGAUGGACAUUGAUUUCUGCACAAGUUUUCAAGCCACCCUUUCCCUGCACACGAAGUUGAACACUGUCUUUUCAUCUUCAGUUGCCAUUCUUUGGUCUGGAUUGGAGAUUUCUGUCUCCUUACCCCUAUGGAGCACCUUACUACAAAGACCCAAAUCUUCAGGCUUUUAUUGAGGCUUUGCUUAGGCAUGAGGAUUUAGGCCUAUAAGCAAAGUUUCAUUCUGAGUUCACUCAAAAACUGUUUCCACUGUAAAUGUGUGUGUAUUCUGUAAUUGUCAAUCAACUUAAAAUAGAUUUGAUGUUAAUGUGAAGAAAGGCAAAAAUGAUUCAGUUAAUAUAUUAUAUCUAUGUUAUUCACACACACUGAACAAUAUGAUGCACAAUUUCUCGUUUUCCUAUGCAUUUUACGCAGAUAAUCUGGUUUGAGAUUUCCUUUAGACUCCUAAAAAGUAAGGUUAUGAUUUCAAUUUGUUCCUUUUUUUAUUAAAGCCUCAGUACCUCUUGGGCCUGAUUUCACCUUUCCACCCUCUUCUAAAAUCCUGUCCCUUUGGUAUUUUUAAAGUGCCCCCUCCUAUGUCAGAUAAUAUAGACAUUUAAAGGUGAUCGUUGUGGACAUAAUGAUUUCCUCCUACCCCUUAGCUUUAAGUGGGGAAGGACUACCAGUACUGUUUUCAAUUUUUACUUUUGAUGUAUUGUC
RNAcentral lists this long non-coding RNA (1362 nucleotides) under Chrysemys picta bellii (western painted turtle). RNAcentral's name for it is "lncRNA (ENSCPBG00000018628.1)". Lineage: Eukaryota; Metazoa; Chordata; Testudines; Emydidae. The record is from RNAcentral.